RNAcentral lists this long non-coding RNA (261 nucleotides) under Mustela putorius furo (domestic ferret). RNAcentral's name for it is "lncRNA (ENSMPUG00000024912.1)". Lineage: Eukaryota; Metazoa; Chordata; Mammalia; Carnivora; Mustelidae. The record is from RNAcentral.
CAUCUCAUCUCUCGGGAGCCCUGCUGGCCACCUUGAGAGGUAGAAAGCAUGGGCAAGGACUCCCGGUUUCUAUUUUACAGGUGAGCAAACUGAAACCCAGAAAGGACACAACAAGCAAUAGUGGUGGAGUGUCAGGCUCUUCUCCACAUGCCCAAGGCUGCCUUCCUUGGAGGUUCCUCAUCUGCGAAAUGGAGAUCAUAGUGCCUGGCUCCCUGAAAGUCAUGUUGAUUUUGAUUCAGUAUAAGGAAAGGAAGAGCUGGU